AAAAUUGAGAAUGGAAAUGGGGAAUGUGCCAAAGAGACAACAACCCGACCAUAGAAAAAAACAACAGCAGAAGGUCACCAACAGGUCUUCAAUGUAGCGAGAAAUUCCUGCACCCGGAGGCGUCCUUCAACUGUCCCCUAAAUAAAUAUAUACUAGUUCAGUGAUAAUGAACGCCAUACUAAUUUCCAAAUUGUACACAAGAAACUAAAAUUAAAAUAAUACAAGACUAACAAAGGCCAGAGGCUCCUGACUUGGGACAGGCGCAAAAAUGCGGCGGGGUUAAACAUGUUUGCGAGAUCUCAACCCUCCCCCUAUACCUCUAGCCAAUGUAGAAAAGUAAACGCAUAACAAUACGCACAUUAAAAUUCAGUUCAAGAGAAGUCCGAGUCUGAUGUCAGAAGAUGUAACCAAAGAAAAUAAACAAAAUGACAAUAAUACAUAAAUAACAACAGACUACUAGCAGUUAACUGACAUGCCAGCUCUAGACUUCAAUUAAACUGACUGAAAGAUUAUGAUUUCAUCAUAUGAACAUCAGGCACAAUCCUUCCCGUUAGGGGUUUAGUAUCAUACCAUCAUAACAUAUAUGAGAAGAACAUAACCCGUGUCAUG
This 609-nucleotide long non-coding RNA is filed under the name Mytilus galloprovincialis (Mediterranean mussel). The record is from RNAcentral. Lineage: Eukaryota; Metazoa; Mollusca; Bivalvia; Mytilida; Mytilidae.